UACCCACACCUAUAACUACAAAACAAUACAGGACAUUUACACAUGUAAACAUUAUCUCAAAACAAUAAGGAAGAAAAGGGUAACCACAACUCUAUAACUACAAAAAUAUAACAGUUAGUUCAAGUAACUCACAAAAUGUAGAUUAAUUGUAGUUAGUAUGAAGGUAAAUGUAGCAGCAUACAAAAGUGAAAAAUAUACCUUAUCUACAAUUUAUCCAGCAGACUACAAAACAACUACAAAAUGACUACAUUUAUGCACUGUCUAAAAAUCACAAUUACAAUUAACCUACAAAAUUGAGACAAACAAUCUACAAAAUUUGGACAAUUCCACAUUUUACCAAAAAACACUUGAACAACAGAUUUUUACAACCAAAAUCACACUAAAAACUGUAAAGAAAAAUAAUUAGUAUUUACCUUUACCAAAAUCUUUUUGUAAACCAAUUUUGGUACUUUUUUUGAGGGUUUCUUCUUUUUCGGUUUUGAUGAAGAAGGAGAGACCUUGGGUUUUUUCACAUAUGGAAUUUUAGGGGAAUGUUCAACAAAAUUAUCAUCUACACACAACUCUUUGCCCUUUCGUUUGAGUUGUUUUUCGACUGGUUUAUCACCUCCACCAGCAUCAACAUCGUGCAAAUGCUUGGUUCUCAUCUCCGCACGGAUUUGUCUAGGAGAUGAAAUACUAGUAGUAGGUUCACUUGCAUGUGUCGAUUUUGCGUUUUUUGGGAGGUGAUUUUGGUGUUAAAACACCCAAAUCAAAUGAUGGGAUAUCAGCUAAUGUAGCUUUUGAAGUUUUUUUUUUUGGAGUGCUGAUUUUUUUCAUGAUUUGGGAUUUGAAAAUACAGAUGCAACUUCAAAAUAGGAUUUUGUGAAAUUAACUAGAAAAGAAAAUUGUAGAAUCGUGGGUAACUGAUGGUAAACGUGGGUGAGAGGCAAGUAUACGAAAAUGGAGGAAUUAACUGAAGGUUAAACGUGAGGGUGUGGGAGGUGGGAGGAGAGAGAGAGGCGGGUAAACGAAAAUGAGAGAAUAUACGCUCCUAAAUUAACGCCUAAUAUAAAUGAAGCAUUAAUUAUAUUCUUAAUUUAAAUUGUGGUAUAUAAAUGGUAAUUUGGUAUGCUGAAAUAUAAUUAACACAAUCCUUAAACAUUGAGUGUAAUAAGGUUUCAUAUAUGGUAUAGGAAGGUAAAAAUCUCUUUUUCAGGAUGCACCCAAGACAUCACAGGUGAGAUAGACAGUAGAGCUAAUUGCCCAACAUUACGUAAAUGGACUAUAUCCAAACAGAGCAGGCCCAGGAAACUUGAUCCAUUUGCCCAAGCAGCACUCGGACCAGUAAUCCAUGACACAUUUCUCGCAAAAACCCUAAAAUUGACCCACCCUAUAAAUUCGCACUUGAGACUUUAGGGUUUCUCUUCACUGCCAUAUCGUUUUAUCACUAUCCUCUUCUCCGCUUUUACAGCGAAACCGAGAGCAGCUACCCACCCACCACCUGCUCGACAAAAUGGCACAAGAAUCACUAGUCCUCCGCGGCACAAUGAAAGCCCACACCGAUUGGGUUACAGCCAUCGCCACCCCAAUUGACAACUCCGACAUGAUCGUUACUUCCUCCAGGGACAAGUCCCUAAUCGUCUGGUCUCUCACAAAGGAUGGCCCACAAUACGGUGUCCCCCGUCGCCGUCUCACUGGCCACGGCCACUUCGUCCAGGAUGUCGUCCUUUCCUCCGACGGUAUGUUCGCUCUCUCUGGUUCCUGGGACGGUGAGCUUCGCCUUUGGGAUCUUCAAGCUGGAACAACCGCUCGCCGUUUCGUCGGUCACACUAAGGAUGUUCUGUCCGUUGCAUUCUCUGUCGACAACCGUCAGAUCGUAUCCGCUUCACGCGACAAAACCAUCAAGCUGUGGAACACACUCGGUGAAUGCAAAUACACCAUUCAGGAGGGUGACUCGCAUUCUGAUUGGGUUUCAUGUGUUCGAUUCAGCCCGAAUACACUUCAGCCCACUAUCGUUUCUGGAUCCUGGGACCGUACUGUGAAAAUCUGGAACCUGACUAACUGUAAGCUGAGGUCCACUCUGGCUGGACACGCCGGCUACGUGAACACCGUGGCUGUCUCUCCUGAUGGUUCAUUGUGUGCUAGUGGAGGCAAAGAUGGUACUAUUUUGCUUUGGG
This 2156-nucleotide long non-coding RNA is filed under the name Nicotiana tabacum (common tobacco). RNAcentral describes it as "long non-coding RNA (NTAB_LNC008833)". Lineage: Eukaryota; Viridiplantae; Streptophyta; Magnoliopsida; Solanales; Solanaceae. The record is from RNAcentral.